UACGUAGGGGGCAAGCGUUGUUCGGAAUUACUGGGCGUAAAGGGCGCGUAGGCGGCAUGGCAAGUCGGGAGUGAAAUGCCUGGGCUCAACCGAGGAACUGCUUUCGAGACUGCCAAGCUAGAGUGCGGAAGGGGCAUCUGGAAUUCCCAGUGUAGCGGUGAAAUGCGUAGAUAUUGGGAAGAACACCUGAGGCGAAGGCGGGAUGCUGGGCCGACACUGACGCUGAAGCGCGAAAGCCAGGGGAGCAAACGGG
RNAcentral lists this ribosomal RNA (253 nucleotides) under uncultured bacterium. RNAcentral's name for it is "partial 16S ribosomal RNA". It matches the Rfam family "Bacterial small subunit ribosomal RNA", at positions 524 to 776 of the family's 1533-position model. The record is from RNAcentral.